UCCCAAAACUCUGGAGGAUUUCCGAGUGAAGACGUGGGGCGGAGCGACCGUGACUAUCAUCAGCGGUGUCAUCAUGCUAAUCCUGUUUGUCUCUGAGCUGCAGUACUAUCUCACAAAAGAGGUCCACCCUGAGCUGUACGUCGACACAUCGCGAGGAGACAAACUCAAAAUCAACAUCGACGUCAUUUUCCCACACAUGCCCCU
This is a long non-coding RNA of Lates calcarifer (barramundi perch), 204 nucleotides long. RefSeq lists it as uncharacterized. Lineage: Eukaryota; Metazoa; Chordata; Actinopteri; Centropomidae. The record is from RefSeq and is a predicted model, not a curated record. The transcript has 3 exons.